AAAAAAGUUACGCAACGCUUAAAAAAGUAAAAGGGCGGGGAAGCUAAACUAGUGUGAACUUUUGUAUUAUUCAACGAAUUUAAGUUAAAUUCAUUUUCGCGAUUAAAAUGACUUCAUCCAGUGAUUCUGAAACCGACUUAACGCCUGAUUUAAUCAGAACAGAAGCCCAAUCUAUCGUGGACGGCCUUUUACCGCAAAUUUCAAAAGAAAGAUAUAUGAAAUCAUAUACGGAUUUUAUAAAAUGGCGGUCCGAAAAGAAAGUAAAAUCUUUCUCGGAAAGUGUGAUGAUAACUUAUUUCAGCGAUUUAUCGAAGAAAUUAAAACCAUCAACGCUGUGGAGUAUAUAUUCGAUGCUUAAAACCACUUUAAACACCAAACAUGAUGUAAAUUUAAAAAACUACAAUAAGCUGACAUCGUUUCUAAAAAGGCAGUCGGUUGGCUUUAAAAGCAAAAAAUCCAAGAUUUUUUCUGCAAAUGAGAUAGAAACCUUCUUAAAUGAAGCUCCUGAUGAUGUUUAUUUGGCAACAAAGGUGGCGCUAAUUUUGGGUAUAUGCGGUGCUUGCAGAGCAUUGAACUUACAAACAUUACAGUAGACAACAUAGAAAAGCACGGUGAAUUAUUAUUGGUCAAGCUUCCCAACACUAAAACAAAAAUCGACCGAGCAUUCGUUGUGAGGGAAGAAUUCGUUCGAAUUGUGUUAAAAUAUCAAGCGCUUCGCCCCGAUAAUUUGCAAACAAAUCGUUUUUUUCUUAAUUAUCAGCGAGGAAGAUGUCUAAGACAAAAUAUCGGGAGAAACAAAAUCUCAAAUAUGCCCAAAACAAUUGCAGAAUUUUUAAAAUUGCCAAACCCGGAUCUAUAUUCAGGGCACUGCUUCCGCAGAACAUCGGCAACGCUUUUAGCCGAUUCUGGGGCCGACUUGACAAUGGUGAAACGGCACGGCGGAUGGAAAUCGAGCACAGUGGCAGAAAGUUAUAUAGAGGACUCAGUGCAAAAUAAGUCCAAAAUAUCAAAUAAAAUUACAAAUGCCAUAAACCUACGUAGCGCUUCGCCGCGUCCAGGUAGUUCAAAAGACUAUCCUGAAUUCCAAGAGUUACAUACCAAAGAAGUAUUUGUACCAGUAAAGGAGAAUCAACCAGCGUCAAACGCAAGGAUACCUUAUCAAAUAUUUACUGAUGCACCUCAAAGCAACACUCAAGUCUCGCAAACUGUGCCUGCUGUAGUGCAGAAUAAGGAAAAAACAUCUAAUAAAAUAAACGUACAUUGCACUACGCCGCGUCCAGGUAGUUCAAAAGACUUUAAUAACUACGAAUAUAUAAGUCAAGAAGAGAUCUUGAACCCAGUAAAAGACAAUCUACGAGCGUCAAUGACCAACAUAAGAAUGCCUUCUCCGACGUUUACUGAUAUACCUCAAAAUGAAAGUCAAAUUUCACAAACUAUAUCUAAUGUGAAUAUUCCAGGCAAAAAUGUUACAUUUACAUUCGCAAAUUGCUCUAAUUUUUCCAUUAAUUUCAAGUAAUUGUAUACUUUGAAUAAACAUAUUGUUAC
Molecule: long non-coding RNA, 1545 nt
Organism: Cydia splendana
Lineage: Eukaryota; Metazoa; Arthropoda; Insecta; Lepidoptera; Tortricidae
Exons: 3
Source: RefSeq, a predicted model, not a curated record